This 460-nucleotide ribosomal RNA is filed under the name uncultured bacterium. RNAcentral's name for it is "partial 16S ribosomal RNA". It matches the Rfam family "Bacterial small subunit ribosomal RNA", at positions 338 to 795 of the family's 1533-position model. The record is from RNAcentral.
CCUACGGGUGGCAGCAGUGAGGAAUAUUGGACAAUGGGCGGAAGCCUGAACCAGCCAAGUCGCGUGAGUGAUUAAGGCCCUAUGGGUCGUAAACCUCUUUUGUCAGGGAGCAAGGUCGUCCACGUGUGGGAGUAUGGAGAGUACCUGAAGAAACAGCAUCGGCUAACUCCGUGCCAGCAGCCGCGGUAAUACGGAGGAUGCGAGCGUUAUCCGGAUUUAUUGGGUGUAAAGGGUGCGUAGGCGGGACCUUAAGUCCGCGGUAAAAUUGCGGUGCUCAACGCCGUAGAGCCGUUGAAACUGGGGCUCUUGAGUGAGCGAGAAGUAUGCGGAAUGCGUGGUGUAGCGGUGAAAUGCAUAGAUAUCACGCAGAACCCCGAUUGCGAAGGCAGCAUACCGGCGCUCAACUGACGCUGAGGCACGAAAGUGCGGGUAUCGAACAGGAUUAGAUACCCGGGUAGUC